UACGAAGGGGGCGAGCGUUGUUCGGAUUUACUGGGCGUAAAGGGCGCGCAGGCGGCUCAUUUUGUCAGGCGUGAAAGCCCCGGGCUUAACCUGGGAACUGCGUUUGAUACGGAUGGGCUAGAGUUCGGGAGAGGAGAGUGGAAUUCCCAGUGUAGAGGUGAAAUUCGUAGAUAUUGGGAAGAACACCGGUGGCGAAGGCGGCUCUCUGGACCGGAACUGACGCUGAGGCGCGAAAGCGUGGGGAGCAAACGGG
RNAcentral lists this ribosomal RNA (253 nucleotides) under uncultured bacterium. RNAcentral describes it as "partial 16S ribosomal RNA". It matches the Rfam family "Bacterial small subunit ribosomal RNA", at positions 524 to 776 of the family's 1533-position model. The record is from RNAcentral.